RNAcentral lists this ribosomal RNA (497 nucleotides) under uncultured bacterium. RNAcentral's name for it is "partial 16S ribosomal RNA". It matches the Rfam family "Bacterial small subunit ribosomal RNA", at positions 28 to 507 of the family's 1533-position model. The record is from RNAcentral.
GAUGAACGCUGGCGGCGUGCCUAAUACAUGCCAGUCGAGCGAACAGACGAGGAGCUUGCUCCUCUGACGUUAGCGGCGGACGGGUGAGUAACACGUGGAUAACCUACCUAUAAGACUGGGAUAACUUCGGGAAACCGGAGCUAAUACCGGAUAAUAUAUUGAACCGCAUGGUUCAAUAGUGAAAGACGGUUUUGCUGUCACUUAUAGAUGGAUCCGCGCCGCAUUAGCUAGUUGGUAAGGUAACGGCUUACCAAGGCGACGAUGCGUAGCCGACCUGAGAGGGUGAUCGGCCACACUGGAACUGAGACACGGUCCAGACUCCUACGGGAGGCAGCAGUAGGGAAUCUUCCGCAAUGGGCGAAAGCCUGACGGAGCAACGCCGCGUGAGUGAUGAAGGUCUUCGGAUCGUAAAACUCUGUUAUUAGGGAAGAACAAAUGUGUAAGUAACUAUGCACGUCUUGACGGUACCUAAUCAGAAAGCCACUGCUAACUACGUG